Molecule: ribosomal RNA, 433 nt
Filed under: uncultured bacterium
Lineage: Bacteria
Description: partial 16S ribosomal RNA
Rfam family: Bacterial small subunit ribosomal RNA
Source: RNAcentral
AACGAACGCUGGCGGCAUGCCUAACACAUGCAAGUCGAACGAGACCUUCGGGUCUAGUGGCGCACGGGUGCGUAACGCGUGGGAACCUGCCCUUAGGUUCGGAAUAACUCCCCGAAAGGGGUGCUAAUACCGGAUAAUGUCUUCGGACCAAAGAUUUAUCGCCUUUGGAUGGGCCCGCGUUGGAUUAGCUAGUUGGUAGGGUAAAAGCCUACCAAGGCGACGAUCCAUAGCUGGUCUGAGAGGAUGAUCAGCCACACUGGGACUGAGACACGGCCCAGACUCCUACGGGAGGCAGCAGUGGGGAAUAUUGGACAAUGGGCGAAAGCCUGAUCCAGCAAUGCCGCGUGAGUGAUGAAGGCCUGAGGGUUGUAAAGCUCUUUUACCCGGGAUGAUAAUGACAGUACCGGGAGAAUAAGCACCGGCUAACUCCGUG